GAUGAACGCUGGCGGCGUGCCUAAUACAUGCAAGUCGAGCGAACAGAUGAGGAGCUUGCUCCUCUGACGUUAGCGGCGGACGGGUGAGUAACACGUGGAUAACCUACCUAUAAGACUGGGAUAACUUCGGGAAGCCGGAGCUAAUACCGGAUAAUAUAUUGAGCCGCAUGGUUCAAUAGUGAAAGACGGUUUUGCUGUCACUUAUAGAUGGAUCCGCGCCGCAUUAGCUAGUUGGUAAGGUAACGGCUUACCAAGGCAACGAUGCGUAGCCGACCCGAGAGGGUGAUCGGCCACACUGGAACUGAGACACGGUCCAGACUCCUACGGGAGGCAGCAGUAGGGAAUCUUCCGCAAUGGGCGAAAGCCUGACGGAGCAACGCCGCGUGAGUGAUGAAGGUCUUCGGAUCGUAAAACUCUGUUAUUAGGGAAGAACAAAUGUGUAAGUAACUAUGCACGUCUUGACGGUACCUAAUCAGAAAGCCACGGCUAACUACGUG
This 497-nucleotide ribosomal RNA is filed under the name uncultured bacterium. RNAcentral describes it as "partial 16S ribosomal RNA". It matches the Rfam family "Bacterial small subunit ribosomal RNA", at positions 28 to 507 of the family's 1533-position model. The record is from RNAcentral.